Dermochelys coriacea (leatherback sea turtle) is the source of this 1163-nucleotide long non-coding RNA. RefSeq lists it as uncharacterized. The record is from RefSeq and is a predicted model, not a curated record. NCBI's taxonomy places the organism in Eukaryota, Metazoa, Chordata, Testudines, Dermochelyidae. The transcript is spliced from 6 exons.
CGCGCGCAAGGCUAGACCUUGCCGGGCCGCGUUACGGGGAAGCCCCAGCAAGGAGCGCGUCAGAGGAGGGACGUGCUGCCAGCCACGGCAAGUCACCAGGCUCACGGGCCCGGAGAGCGCCGCGGCCAGGCGCCGCCUUCCGCUCCGCUCCGCUCCGCUCCCCUCCCCCCCGGGCACCGAGCUGCGCGCGGCCGGCCGGCGCGGGCGGGCGGGGGGGGGGGCUGCACCCCGCUCUCCUGCGGGCUCCCUGCGCGCAGGGGGAGGCUCGGCGCUGGGUCUACGCGCCGGAGGCAGGUCAAUGAAGCUGUACAUCUUACAUAUUCAAAUACGACACUAAAGGUGAGACUCAUUCCUGCUCCAGCUCUUUACACCAGGUAAAGGGGCUAAAGAAGUUCUACAAAGUUCUGGAUCCAGCCAGGAGAGAAUUUCCUCAGUGAAGGAACUGAGGAAGACAGUCACAGGCUGCAUUUUGAAGAUCUCCACAAAAGCCCUGGCAUGGCAGGGUUUGCCUUUGGUCCACAGUUAAAAGGACACACAACAGCAGUGGAGCACUGAAUGGAUGCAGCAGAACAAAUGUAAAGGACGGAAGUUAUUGCAAUUAUAUAAAAAAUGGAGAAAGAGGGGAGAUGCAAACGCCCUUCUGCGAAAUAACCCUCUAUCUUUUAUGCAUACUCAGUGCACAUUUCCUAUACUUAAAGUAUAUGAAAAGUGUACGAAUAUAAAACUAGUGUGGUUUCUUUUUUUUUCUCUUUUUUUUUUCUUUUUUUAAAGAAACAGGUGACAAGAGAAGAGAGAGGAGGAGACAGAGAAAGCAGAGGACAGAAGGAGAAAUAUUACAGUGGAGCAACUCCGCCAACUCCAGUGGAAUCACACUUGUGCAGAGGAUCCCAGUUUAAAGAGAAGAGAGUGUUUUCCUUUUUAACAACAGUACUUGCCAGAAGUUUAAAAAAAAUCUCAGAACUGAAACACUCUUCUAAAAAGGAGAGUCAGAUUUCACGAUUCAGAUUUUGAGUGACCUUGCUCAUUUUACAAAUCUUACAAAGCUAUGGAAUUAUCUCAGAAACUAUGUUUUCCUUCCCCCUUUAGUGCUAUAAAUUCAAGACAAAAGUAUGCAGAGAGCAUGAAGAUAUUCCACUAUAAAUGAAGGGGUCCUAUACCUCUUU